Small nucleolar RNA from Ornithorhynchus anatinus (platypus), 138 nucleotides. The record is from RefSeq and is a predicted model, not a curated record. Lineage: Eukaryota; Metazoa; Chordata; Mammalia; Monotremata; Ornithorhynchidae.
UACCUCUAGGGAUUAUGCCUGAAGAGUUUCCAAUACUCUACCAGUCUCAGCUGCGGGAAGGAGAGUCAAGCGGAUGUCUACCCAUUCCAUUCCUAGCUUGGUCAGUGGCUAGUGAGUGGAAGGCAAUCUGCUUUGAGU